RNAcentral lists this ribosomal RNA (505 nucleotides) under Xenopus boumbaensis (Mawa clawed frog). RNAcentral's name for it is "partial 16S ribosomal RNA". It matches the Rfam family "Bacterial large subunit ribosomal RNA", at positions 1816 to 2524 of the family's 2925-position model. The record is from RNAcentral. Lineage: Eukaryota; Metazoa; Chordata; Amphibia; Anura; Pipidae.
CGCCUCUUGCCAACAACCAUGUAUAAGAGGUCCAGCCUGCCCAGUGACUAUAUGUUCAACGGCCGCGGUAUUCUGACCGUGCAAAGGUAGCGUAAUCACUUGUCUUUUAAAUAAAGACUGGUAUGAACGGCACCACGAAGGUUCAACUGUCUCCUGCAUCCAAUCCAUUAAACUGACCUCCCCGUGCAGAGGCGGGGAUGUAAUCAUAAGACGAGAAGACCCUAUGGAGCUUUAAACUAAAGGCAACUGCCAAACUAUUUUACCCAUAAGGAAAAACUACUAAACAAGCAGAAAUUGACCUAAAGUUUUCGGUUGGGGCGACCAUGGAGAAUAAAAAAUCCUCCUUGAAGAAUAGGGCUUACAACCCUUAACCAAGAACCACCAUUCUAAGUAACAAAAUUUAUGACUGCAAUUGAUCCAGUCCUACUGAUCAACGAACCAAGUUACCCUAGGGAUAACAGCGCAAUCCAUUUCAAAAGUUCCUAUCGACAAAUGGGUUUACGAC